This 2250-nucleotide long non-coding RNA is filed under the name Canis lupus familiaris (dog). RNAcentral describes it as "lncRNA (ENSCAFG00845022438.1)". The record is from RNAcentral. Lineage: Eukaryota; Metazoa; Chordata; Mammalia; Carnivora; Canidae.
CCUUAAAACCAAAAAUCAUUAUUUUUUCUGAGCAGAAAAACUUUGUGGUGGAUAUAUAUAUAUAUAUAUUCUGAAGUUCAAGGAGCCCCAGGAGUGAGAAGACAUGAUUCAGGGUGUCCAUGCAUCUCAGAGAUGUUGUGCCAAAACGUGUGUGCAUGACAGCAUUUUUCUUGGAGAGCUCAUAGGCUAAUUAACUUCUCAACAGCAACUGGAACCCAGAGAGGAAACAUUGCAAAAACAUCAGCCUCAAGCUCUGGAGCACAAUCACUAAGAGAGGAUCAUCCAUGAGUCAAUUCUCAACCUCUCUUUCUCCAGGGAACAAGAAAGCAAAAUACCAGAAUUCCAACCCAAGCAUGAUACGCAAUUCAACUUCGGGUGACAAAAUAUUUAUAGAUGACCCUGGGACAACUAAGGGUAAGAAGCACAGCCCUUUGGGCAGCAGACAUCUGCAUAAAACUUUAAUUCCCCCAAAACUUAACAACUAAAAGCCUACUGUUGACUGGAAGCCUUACUGAUCACAUAAAUAGUUGAUCAACACAUAUUUUGUGUUAUAUGUAUUAUAUAUUGUAUUGGCACAAUAAAGCAAGCUAGAGGAAAGGAAAUUUUAUUAUGAAAAUCACUAGGAAGAGGAAAUACAUUUGGAGCACUGUACUGUAAAAAAUCCAUGUGUAAGUGGUUUUUCAUAGUUCAGACCCGUGUUGUUCAAGGGUCACUUGUAAAUCAAAAAAAGAGAUGUCCAAAAGUGGUAUAAUUUCCAGAGCCAUUAGAGCAAGGAGUUGUUAACUCUACUGAUGCUAUGUGACAUAAGUCUGUGUAUAUUUCCAUUUGUUUAGAUUUUCUCUAGAGACUGUCCAUGAAUCAUAUGCAUCUUUCCAUGAAGGAUUGCCUGUUGUCAUUAGGGUUAUUCCUAUGUACUUUACAUUUUGGAUACUAUUUAAGUGGCAUCAUAAAAUUUUAAUUUUCUUGUAUGUUUGUGGGUAUAAAGAAUGCAAUUCAGUUUUUGUAUAUCGAUUUUGUGCCCAGUAACCUUGUUAAGAUCUACCAAUUUUAGUGUAUUAUCUGUACAUUCUUUUAGUUUUUCUAUGAAGACCACCAUACAUCAUCUGUAAAUGAUGACAGUUUUGCUUUUUUAUUUCCAGUUCUUAUACCAAUUAUCUAUUUUCCUUGCUUUAUUGUACUUUCUAGAUCUUCCAUAUAAUCUUAAGUAUGUAUACACAUACACAAUGGAAUAUCUCUCAGUCAUCAAAAAGAAUGACGUCUUAAAAAAAAAAAGAAUGACGUCUUGCCACUGGCAACAAUGUGGAUAGAACUAGAGGGAAAUAAGUGAGUCAGAGAAGACAGAUACCAUAUGAUCUCACUCAUAAUGUGGAAGUUAAGAAAGAAAAGAGAUGAACAUAUGGAAAGGAGGAAAAGAAAAAAGGAAAGGGAGACAAACCAUUAAGGACUCUUUACUUUAGAGAACACAGUGAGGGUUGAUGGAGGGAGAAGGUGGGGAUGAGCUAGAUGGAUGGUAGGUAUUAUUAUAAUUUUAAAAAUAUUUUAUUUAUUUAUUUGACAGUGAGAGAGGGAGAGCACAAGCAGAGUGAGUGGGAGAGGGAGAGGCAGGCUCCCCACUAAUCAGGGAGCACAAUCAGGAGCUCAACAUCAAGACCCCAGGAUCACCACCCAAAAUGAAGGUAGAUGUUUAACCUCUGAGCUACCUAGGCACACUGGAUGAUAGAUAGGUAUUUAAGAAGGCACUUGUCAUGAGGACUGGAUAUUGUAUGUAAGUGAGGAAUCACUGAAUUCUACUCCAGAAACCAGCAACCAAUAUUGCACUCUAUUUUAACCAAGUAAAGCUUAAGUGAAAAAAAAAAAAAACCUACUAUAUUGAAUAAAAGUAGGGUAAUGGCUCCCCAGGCUUAUUUAUGAUCUCAAGGUAAUUUUAAUGUUUCACUUUUGGGGGAGGAUAUUUGCUGCUAAGUUCUGGUGUAUAAUGAUUUUAAUAGCUUAAGGAACUUCAUUUCUAUUCCAGGUCUGCUGAGAAGUGUUGUUUUUUAUAAAAUUAUAAAUAGGCAUAAAUGUUUAAUAAAACAGAUGACUUUCCUACCUCUACCGAGAUUGCAGUGUGAUAUUUCUUCAUUUGUCCUUUAAUGUAGUGAUUUACAUAAUUCAUUUUCUGAUGUGAAGUAAACUCUGAAUUAGUACUGGAACAAACUCAACUUUGUUCAUGACAUAAGGUAUUAUAUUUUUAAUACAUGUAGGAGACCG